This 179-nucleotide non-coding RNA is filed under the name Desulfosporosinus youngiae. Lineage: Bacteria; Bacillati; Bacillota; Clostridia; Eubacteriales; Desulfitobacteriaceae. The record is from RNAcentral. RNAcentral also lists the same sequence under 1 other name.
UUAAUAAAUGAGCAAGUGAUUUUUCUCUAGCGGAGAAAGACAGGGGAAGUUCGGUGAAAAUCCGACGCGGUCCCGCCACUGUAAGGGAGAGUUUCUGCCACAUUCACUGAGGGAACUUGGGAAGGAGGCAGUAAAUGAAGACCCCGAGCCAGAAGACCUGAUUGCUUAUGCUUUACUCA